AUUGAACGCUGGCGGCAUGCCUUACACAUGCAAGUCGAACGGCAGCACGGAGCUUGCUCUGGUGGCGAGUGGCGAACGGGUGAGUAAUAUAUCGGAACGUACCCUAGAGUGGGGGAUAACGUAGCGAAAGUUACGCUAAUACCGCAUACGAUCUAAGGAUGAAAGUGGGGGAUCGCAAGACCUCAUGCUCGUGGAGCGGCCGAUAUCUGAUUAGCUAGUUGGUAGGGUAAAAGCCUACCAAGGCAUCGAUCAGUAGCUGGUCUGAGAGGACGACCAGCCACACUGGAACUGAGACACGGUCCAGACUCCUACGGGAGGCAGCAGUGGGGAAUUUUGGACAAUGGGCGAAAGCCUGAUCCAGCAAUGCCGCGUGAGUGAAGAAGGCCUUCGGGUUGUAAAGCUCUUUUGUCAGGGAAGAAACGGUGGGAGCUAAUAUCUCUUGCUAAUGACGGUACCUGAAGAAUAAGCACCGGCUAACUACGUGCCAGCAGCCGCGGUAAUACGUAGGGUGCAAGCGUUAAUCGGAAUUACUGGGCGUAAAGCGUGCGCAGGCGGUUUUGUAAGUCUGAUGUGAAAUCCCCGGGCUCAACCUGGGAAUUGCAUUGGAGACUGCAAGGCUAGAAUCUGGCAGAGGGGGAUAGAAUUCCACGUGUAGCAGUGAAAUGCGUAGAUAUGUGGAGGAACACCGAUGGCGAAGGCAGCCCCCUGGGUCAAGAUUGACGCUCAUGCACGAAAGCGUGGGGAGCAAACAGGAUUAGAUACCCUGGUAGUCCACGCCCUAAACGAUGUCUACUAGUUGUCGGGUCUUAAUUGACUUGGUAACGCAGCUAACGCGUGAAGUAGACCGCCUGGGGAGUACGGUCGCAAGAUUAAAACUCAAAGGAAUUGACGGGGACCCGCACAAGCGGUGGAUGAUGUGGAUUAAUUCGAUGCAACGCGAAAAACCUUACCUACCCUUGACAUGGCUGGAAUCCUUGAGAGAUCAGGGAGUGCUCGAAAGAGAACCAGUACACAGGUGCUGCAUGGCUGUCGUCAGCUCGUGUCGUGAGAUGUUGGGUUAAGUCCCGCAACGAGCGCAACCCUUGUCAUUAGUUGCUACGAAAGGGCACUCUAAUGAGACUGCCGGUGACAAACCGGAGGAAGGUGGGGAUGACGUCAAGUCCUCAUGGCCCUUAUGGGUAGGGCUUCACACGUCAUACAAUGGUACAUACAGAGCGCCGCCAACCCGCGAGGGGGAGCUAAUCGCAGAAAGUGUAUCGUAGUCCGGAUUGUAGUCUGCAACUCGACUGCAUGAAGUUGGAAUCGCUAGUAAUCGCGGAUCAGCAUGUCGCGGUGAAUACGUUCCCGGGUCU
RNAcentral lists this ribosomal RNA (1352 nucleotides) under uncultured bacterium. RNAcentral's name for it is "bacterial SSU rRNA". It matches the Rfam family "Bacterial small subunit ribosomal RNA", at positions 28 to 1381 of the family's 1533-position model. The record is from RNAcentral.